UACGUAGGGGGGCGAGCGUUGUCCGGAAUCAUUGGGCGUAAAGGGCUCGUAGGCGGUCUGUCACGUCAGGAGUGAAAACUCGGGGCUCAACCCCGAGCCUGCUUCUGAUACGGGCAGACUGGAGGUAUGCAGGGGAGAACGGAAUUCCUGGUGUAGCGGUGAAAUGCGCAGAUAUCAGGAGGAACACCGGUGGCGAAGGCGGUUCUCUGGGCAUUACCUGACGCUGAGGAGCGAAAGUGUGGGGAGCGAACAGG
This 254-nucleotide ribosomal RNA is filed under the name uncultured bacterium. RNAcentral describes it as "partial 16S ribosomal RNA". It matches the Rfam family "Bacterial small subunit ribosomal RNA", at positions 524 to 776 of the family's 1533-position model. The record is from RNAcentral.